UAGAAGUCUUCGGACUUUGAGACCGGCGCACGGGUGCGUAACGCGUAUGCAAUCUACCUUUUACAGAGGGAUAGCCCAGAGAAAUUUGGAUUAAUACCUCAUAGUAUAUAGACCUGGCAUCAGGAUUAUAUUAAAGUCACAACGGUAAAAGAUGAGCAUGCGUCCCAUUAGCUAGUUGGUAAGGUAACGGCUUACCAAGGCUACGAUGGGUAGGGGUCCUGAGAGGGAGAUCCCCCACACUGGUACUGAGACACGGACCAGACUCCUACGGGAGGCAGCAGUGAGGAAUAUUGGACAAUGGGCGCAAGCCUGAUCCAGCCAUGCCGCGUGCAGGAUGACGGUCCUAUGGAUUGUAAACUGCUUUUAUACGAGAAGAAACACUCCAACGUGUUGGAGCUUGACGGUAUCGUAAGAAUAAGGAUCGGCUAACUCCGUGCCAGCAGCCGCGGUAAUACGGAGGAUCCAAGCGUUAUCCGGAAUCAUUGGGUUUAAAGGGUCCGUAGGCGGUUUAAUAAGUCAGUGGUGAAAGCCCAUCGCUCAACGGUGGAACGGCCAUUGAUACUGUUAAACUUGAAUUAUUAGGAAGUAACUAGAAUAUGUAGUGUAGCGGUGAAAUGCUUAGAGAUUACAUGGAAUACCAAUUGCGAAGGCAGGUUACUACUAAUGGAUU
This 670-nucleotide ribosomal RNA is filed under the name Flavobacterium sp. RNAcentral's name for it is "bacterial SSU rRNA". It matches the Rfam family "Bacterial small subunit ribosomal RNA", at positions 71 to 741 of the family's 1533-position model. Lineage: Bacteria; Pseudomonadati; Bacteroidota; Flavobacteriia; Flavobacteriales; Flavobacteriaceae. The record is from RNAcentral.